GUCCUUCUAGUAUUAACCAGUACAAGUGACUUCCAAUCACUAAGACUCAGUUGUACCCUGAGGAAGAACA
This 70-nucleotide transfer RNA is filed under the name Ablepharus himalayanus (Himalaya ground skink). Its description in RNAcentral is "tRNA-Gly". Lineage: Eukaryota; Metazoa; Chordata; Lepidosauria; Squamata; Scincidae. The record is from RNAcentral.